UACCGAGGUCUCAAGCGUUGUUCGGAUUCAUUGGGCGUAAAGGGUGCGUAGGCGGCGCGGUAAGUCGGGUGUGAAAUCUCGGGGCUUAACUCCGAAACUGCAUUCGAUACUGCCGUGCUUGAGGACUGGAGAGGAGACUGGAAUUUACGGUGUAGCGGUGAAAUGCGUAGAUAUCAGGAGGAACACCGGUGGCGAAGGCGGCUCUCUGGACGGUGACUGACGCUGAGACGCGAAAGCGUGGGGAGCAAACAGG
This 253-nucleotide ribosomal RNA is filed under the name uncultured bacterium. Its description in RNAcentral is "partial 16S ribosomal RNA". It matches the Rfam family "Bacterial small subunit ribosomal RNA", at positions 524 to 776 of the family's 1533-position model. The record is from RNAcentral.